RNAcentral lists this small nuclear RNA (17 nucleotides) under Sus scrofa (pig). The record is from RNAcentral. Lineage: Eukaryota; Metazoa; Chordata; Mammalia; Artiodactyla; Suidae.
GCGCAAGGAUGACACGC